UCCCUGCUGGCUCAGAUGGUAAAGCAUCUGCUUACAAUGCAGGAGACCCAGGUUCGAUCCCUGGAUGGGGAA
This 72-nucleotide transfer RNA is filed under the name Bos taurus (domestic cattle). It matches the Rfam family "tRNA". From Rfam's summary of the family: Transfer RNA (tRNA) molecules are approximately 80 nucleotides in length. RNAcentral also lists the same sequence under 3 other names. Lineage: Eukaryota; Metazoa; Chordata; Mammalia; Artiodactyla; Bovidae. The record is from Rfam by way of RNAcentral.